CGCAAGCCUGACGGAGCUACACCGCGUGAGGGAAGACGGCCUUUGGGCUGUAAACCUCUUUUCUCAGGGAAGAAGGUCUGACGGUACCUGAGGAAUCAGCCUCGGCUAACUCCGUGCCAGCAGCCGCGGUAAUACGGAGGAGGCAAGCGUUAUCCGGAAUUAUUGGGCGUAAAGCGUCCGCAGGGGGCCCAUCAAGUCUGCUGUUAAAGGUCGGAGCUCAACUCCGGUUCGGCAGUGGAAACUGGUGGGCUAGAGGGCGACAGGGGUAGAGGGAAUUCCCAGUGUAGCGGUGAAAUGCGUAGAUAUUGGGAAGAACACCGGUGGCGAAAGCGCUUUGCUGGACCGAACCUGACGCUGAGGGACGAAAGCUAGGGGAGCG
This 379-nucleotide ribosomal RNA is filed under the name uncultured cyanobacterium. RNAcentral's name for it is "bacterial SSU rRNA". It matches the Rfam family "Bacterial small subunit ribosomal RNA", at positions 376 to 770 of the family's 1533-position model. The record is from RNAcentral. Lineage: Bacteria; Bacillati; Cyanobacteriota.